GUCACAGCCUACAUUAGCCCAGUCAAGAAUGCAUUCUUUCUAAGUUAGUCAUCCCAUCAAUUUAGGAGAAUGAUAAAUCCCCAAUAGUUUAUAUAAAUGCCAUUAAUGUUAGCUAGAUAGCUAGCGAAAUUGAAACUGUUGGGGGAAAGGUAGCUAGCUAACUCCCACCAUCCUCACUGCAGUGUAGCUAAUGUUAGCUAGGUUUCUAGAAAAUAAAAACUACUAACUACAGCUAUAUUUGCUAGCUAUAUUUUAAAGACUUGUUACUGACUUUUUAACACUUUUUGUCAAACUUCUUCAUUCCACUGCCUGUUUAUUGAUUUAAGAUUAAUUUCUUCCCCCACUCUGCUAUUUUCCUCAGGUUAAAGCACAUUCCUAACACCCAGACAGAUGUAAAGAACUUGGGAACCUCCAAGCCACCAGGAAAAUCAUCUUGUACUUGGAGUUUAUUCACAAGGUUUGUCGUAUGAUUUCCGGGCACCUGGUGGAGAUUAAUACAACAAUACUCCAAGGCAGGCCAUUUCCCUGCAUCCAGGUUGAUGCCUGUGACCAGCAGGAACAUGGAGCACUCCAUGUCAGGGCUACAGACACAGAAUAUUCAAAGGACCUCCAGAGCCUUCAGACCAACUACCUGCGAUCUCUCCAGAGCACAGAGAAGUAAGCUCUGCUGGUGGUAAUAUACUUUAUGCGCACUAUGUAAACCUCCUUCACUAUGGCGGUCUGUGUGAGGUCAUGUAGCAUAUUAUAAACCGGGUGGUUCGAGCCCUGAAUGCUGAUUGGCUGACAUACCACGGGUAU
Coregonus clupeaformis (lake whitefish) is the source of this 798-nucleotide long non-coding RNA. RefSeq lists it as uncharacterized. Lineage: Eukaryota; Metazoa; Chordata; Actinopteri; Salmoniformes; Salmonidae. The transcript is spliced from 3 exons. The record is from RefSeq and is a predicted model, not a curated record.